GCUGGGUGUGGUGGUGCAUGCCUAUAAUCCCAGCAGUGUGGGAGGCUGAGGAGGGAGGAUCACUAGUUUGAGGUCAUCCUCAGUAACUUAGCAAGGCCCUCAGCAACUUAGUGAGACCUGUCCCA
Molecule: small RNA, 125 nt
Filed under: Marmota monax (woodchuck)
Lineage: Eukaryota; Metazoa; Chordata; Mammalia; Rodentia; Sciuridae
Source: RNAcentral